This 136-nucleotide small nucleolar RNA is filed under the name Castor canadensis (American beaver). Its description in RNAcentral is "Small nucleolar RNA SNORA42/SNORA80 family (ENSCCNG00000011658.1)". It matches the Rfam family "Small nucleolar RNA SNORA42/SNORA80 family". Rfam says of the family: The members of this family belong to the H/ACA class of snoRNAs that guide the sites of modification of uridines to pseudouridines. Human ACA42 (SNORA42) was cloned from HeLa cells by immunoprecipitation with anti-GAR1 antibody. The record is from Rfam by way of RNAcentral. Lineage: Eukaryota; Metazoa; Chordata; Mammalia; Rodentia; Castoridae.
GCAUGGGUUUGGAUUUAUGGCAGGCCUGUCCCCCUGGGCCUCUCACAGUGUCCCAUGCCAAAGCAAACUGUGGCCCUGACCCAUUGCCUGGCCUCUCUUUCCAUAGGCUGCUGGCACUGAAGUGGGUUGUACAGUG